CAAAUUGUAUAAGAUAUCCCCUACUUUGAUCAUCAGAUUUAACUUCCAGAACCCAUGUAUCACAUUGCCACUUCCCUGCUCAAUAAAAUGUCGAAGGCUUUCAAUGUCAAAAAGCUAAAGCCAAAAUUAUUUAAUCUUCAUGUAAGACUUCAUAUCCUGGUUUAAGUUUCUUUUUUUAAUUAAAAUUUUAAUUUUGAGAUGAUAUAGAUUUUCAUGCAGUUGUAAGAAAUAAUACAGUGAAAUAAUUCCAUGUACCCUUUAUCAUUUUCCCCAAUGGUUACAUCUUGCAAAAUUCUGGAGCAAUAUCACAACCAGAGUAUUGACAUUGAUACAGUCUAGAUACAGAAUAUUUCCACCACCACUGAGGACCCCACAUGUUGCUUUCUUUGUGUGUGCGUCUUUUUUUUAGGGCGGCUGCACCCGUGGUGUAUGGAGGUUUCCCAGCUAUAGCUCCGAUUCGACCUCCAUAUGCCACGGGUACGGCCCUAAAAAGCAAUAAUACUAAUACUGAUACUAAUACUAAUCCUAAUAGUAAUAAUAACAACAUCUUAGAGCAAAAUGCAAACUCUGUAGCCUGGCUUGUAUAACUGACCAACUUUAUUUCUCCAUAUCCUUCUAAUCCUCUCUCCUGGCUUUUCUGUUUCAUGAGCAACCACACUGGUCCUGCAUGAGAGCUCUCUCAUUUGUUUGAGACCAUCUUUGAAAUCUCAGAAAAGGAGUCUCACCACUUCAGUUAGACCACCCUGAUGAUGCUAAGGUACCCACCCUCCAUCUCUGUCUCUCUCCAAGCCCUGACCUCCUUGUCCGGGGCUGCCUUGGGGCUGUGUGGUUUGGGCUGGGCAUUGCUGAUGGCUCCAGGCCAUGAGGGUGGGAGGUAGGGAGCUGAAUCCACAGAUUCUUCCCUAGUGCUAGAUGAGCCUCCUCUCUGUGUUAAUAAAAGCAACUAUUGAGUAGACAAGCCUCUCAUCGUGGAGGGAGGGGUACUUUUCUUCUUGACUUUGUCCACCCAGAGGAGGCAGCUUUUUCUAAUUCAUACGACAUCAUGAGAGCUGGUACAUGUUAUCAAAUAUUUUCUUGUUUGGUGUGCUUAUCUAUUUGUCUGCUCACCUUUUACUCAUCUAUCAUCUACUUUCACACAUUGGAGUGUAAAUUCCUUGAGGAUAAUGACCUGACUGUAUCUCUUUCACUUCUAGAAUCCCAGAUUUUAGAAUAUUGCAUGGCGCAUAUUUGUUGGUCAAUAGCUAUUUAUUGGAUUAGUAAAUAGGAAAAUAUCUCUACUCAUAAUUUAAAACAAUAUUAGAUGAAAUUACAUGCUGUGAAUUUCUCAACAUGGAGAUCAUUCUUGUCAAAUGGACCUAACUCCCGUCCCCCCAGAUGCCCUGUGUGUUUUGAACAAUUCUUUAUUCUUUUGAUUUGCUCUGACAGUAAUGUUCUUUUCUGCCCCCUAGCUUUGCUUGAAGAAGUCCUAUCUUCCCUGAAUGAAUAUUGCAUUUUCUAAAUAAGCUUCUUCACUUUUCCACUCAGAAUUCUCCCUCUGUCUCCCAUUAUUACCAGGAAGGUUGUUCACUGUUUGGGAAGUUUGGAGCAAAAAAAAAAAAAAAAAAAA
RNAcentral lists this long non-coding RNA (1606 nucleotides) under Sus scrofa (pig). RNAcentral's name for it is "lncRNA (ENSSSCG00040044695.1)". The record is from RNAcentral. Lineage: Eukaryota; Metazoa; Chordata; Mammalia; Artiodactyla; Suidae.